RNAcentral lists this transfer RNA (82 nucleotides) under Candidatus Latescibacterota bacterium. RNAcentral describes it as "tRNA-Leu". It matches the Rfam family "tRNA". Rfam says of the family: Transfer RNA (tRNA) molecules are approximately 80 nucleotides in length. Their secondary structure includes four short double-helical elements and three loops (D, anti-codon, and T loops). The record is from RNAcentral. Lineage: Bacteria; Pseudomonadati; Candidatus Latescibacterota.
GCGAGAGUGGCGGAACAGGCAGACGCGCCAGAUUUAGGAUCUGGUGGGUAUUCCCGUGGGGGUUCGAGUCCCCCCUCUCGCA